ACGGAAGGCAGCAGUGGGGAAUAUUGCACAAUGGGGGAAACCCUGAUGCAGCGACGCCGCGUGAGUGAAGAAGUAUUUCGGUAUGUAAAGCUCUAUCAGCAGGGAAGAAAAUGACGGUACCUGACUAAGAAGCCCCGGCUAACUACGUGCCAGCAGCCGCGGUAAUACGUAGGGGGCAAGCGUUAUCCGGAUUUACUGGGUGUAAAGGGAGCGUAGACGGUUCUGCGAGUCUGAUGUGAAAGGCAGGGGCUCAACUCCUGGACUGCAUUGGAAACUGUAGAACUAGAGUGCCGGAGAGGUAAGCGGAAUUCCUAGUGUAGCGGUGAAAUGCGUAGAUGUUAGGAGGAACACCAGUGGCGAAGGCGGCUUACUGGACGGUAACUGACGUUGAGGCUCGAAAGCAUGGGGAGCGAACAGGAUUAGAUACCCUGGUA
Molecule: ribosomal RNA, 434 nt
Filed under: uncultured Clostridium sp.
Lineage: Bacteria; Bacillati; Bacillota; Clostridia; Eubacteriales; Clostridiaceae
Description: partial 16S ribosomal RNA
Rfam family: Bacterial small subunit ribosomal RNA
Source: RNAcentral